CCUACGGGUGGCAGCAGUGAGGAAUAUUGGUCAAUGGUCGGGAGACUGAACCAGCCAAGCCGCGUGAGGGAUGAAGGUACAGAGUAUCGUAAACCUCUUUUGUCAGGGAACAAAGGCGGGGACGUGUCCCCGGCUGAGUGUACCUGAAGAAAAAGCAUCGGCUAACUCCGUGCCAGCAGCCGCGGUAAUACGGAGGAUGCGAGCGUUAUCCGGAUUUAUUGGGUUUAAAGGGUGCGCAGGCGGUCUGUUAAGUCAGCGGUAACAGCCCGGGGCUCAACCCCGGCCCGCCGUUGAAACUGGCAGUCUCGAGUUGGAGAGAAGUAUGCGGAAUGCGCGGUGUAGCGGUGAAAUGCAUAGAGAUCGCGCAGAACUCCGAUUGCGAAGGCAGCAUGCCGGCGCCACACUGACGCUGAGGCACGAAAGCGUGGGUAUCGAACAGGAUUAGAUACCCCUGUAGUC
This 459-nucleotide ribosomal RNA is filed under the name uncultured bacterium. RNAcentral describes it as "partial 16S ribosomal RNA". It matches the Rfam family "Bacterial small subunit ribosomal RNA", at positions 338 to 795 of the family's 1533-position model. The record is from RNAcentral.